AUCGUUAUAUUUCCACGAUUAAGAAUCUAGAAUAGUCAUCGAUGAAGACCAAUAGAUACUCAUUACUACCAGUAUAUGCACGAAGCCAUAGUCUAUAAGCUUAGUCCACAGUGCUUGCGGUAAUUCAGACAUCUGUAAUGGGUCUCUUCCACUUUUUGGCGUCGUUAUUUUGGCAAGACAAGAUUCUAUCUUGUCAUCAGUCAACGUCAGUACGAAACAGUGAACGGUACAGUGAAUGAGAUGCGCAUAGUUAGUCAGUGCUUUCGUUGAUUAGUCCAGGUGAAACCUAUGCUGUGCGUUUGGAAAAUAUAUAAAAUCUUGAAUCAAUUAAUCCUUCGGAAUUUCAGUACAUCAACUGUGUUAAGAUAGAUAACCAAAGGUAGGACACAUACCACAAUUGCUAGAACAAUUUAUACAGUUUAAUUUAUCUUAAAGGCAUAAUUCCUGGAGAAAAAGGAUGGAAAACGAGCAUGUCAUGAUCUGAGUCAUUUGACGAUAACAAUCUUGGACCAACUACAGCAAGGGCCAUAGAAUGGCCAACGAACUUUAAGUCAUUACCUCAAACUGAAGAAGACCAAACCAGGCUGAUGCUUCGAAAUAUCGAUACCAAUAUUUGGCUGAUUAGUAGGAACCAACCUUUCUCACGUAAAAGGGCUUUCGUUUUAACUAUCCCCAUGUGAUUUUACGAUUCCGUUUACUUUAGAUCGAAAUUCUUCGGCUAUUUCGACAGAAAAUCUGCUGACUUUUCAGGUCCCUGGCGAUAGCGUAUAAUGACGUCAUAAGGUUGCAGACACAAAGACCACCUUUCAAGACUAGCUGACGGUUUCUAUGUUCGAUGGUGAGUAUUGGUCAAUGGUUGGUGGUCCGUAAAUCUUUACGGAGCGUUUCAGGUGAUAAUGUGAAACGUUGCUUACAGGAGAGAAAAAUAUGUAAAAACGACGAGCACAUGGAAAAUGCUG
Xenia sp. Carnegie-2017 is the source of this 959-nucleotide long non-coding RNA. RefSeq lists it as uncharacterized. The record is from RefSeq and is a predicted model, not a curated record. Lineage: Eukaryota; Metazoa; Cnidaria; Anthozoa; Malacalcyonacea; Xeniidae. The transcript has 2 exons.